RNAcentral lists this unclassified non-coding RNA (598 nucleotides) under Hevea brasiliensis (rubber tree). Lineage: Eukaryota; Viridiplantae; Streptophyta; Magnoliopsida; Malpighiales; Euphorbiaceae. The record is from RNAcentral.
AUAAGAGGAAGGACUCAAGCAAUAAUUUGAAGGUCCCUCAACAGGACAAGCAGAAGUCAAAAAUCUGUUUUGAUCAUCAGCCAUUCUGAGGUUUGCAUAAGUUCCCUCUCGGCCAUCUCUAUCCAAACCCCAAUUGCCCACAAUUGCCCUUGACCUCAAAGACCCUGCAGAACUCUUAAAUUGGGCUGAAAUCUCGGCAACAUCUUUUUCUCUACUUGAAUUAACACACUCAGAUCUAUUCAUGUUCAUUUCAUUAUCAUCCCAGCCAACCCAAUUCCCAAUUGGGUGCUUCAAUGGUAGCUGGAGCCUAUAUUUAUCCCCAGAACCAAUUUCCUUCUCUGCACCACCUUCAUAACCCACAAUUUGUUCCUUCGCAGUUCCAAAGCUACUAUCAAUUGAAGUUUCUUUGGUUUCUAUCCCGAAUAAAGAACUACCGAUCAAAUUGGCAGUUCUUCCUCUAAAGACUCACUCUUUUAUCCUAUCAAGAAAGACCCCGUCACUCUCUAUCUCAGCCUCGGAUGCAACACCUAAAUCACUACCCUCUUCUUUCUUUGGCGAAGUCUCUUUUUCAAGCUUCUCUAAUUGCCCAUCAUUUAUA